Oncorhynchus kisutch (coho salmon) is the source of this 671-nucleotide long non-coding RNA. RefSeq lists it as uncharacterized. The record is from RefSeq and is a predicted model, not a curated record. The transcript is spliced from 2 exons. Lineage: Eukaryota; Metazoa; Chordata; Actinopteri; Salmoniformes; Salmonidae.
GUGGUUUCCUGUUUGCUGUACAGUAUACAGCUCAUUGAGUGCGGGCACAUUUGCAAAUGGCUGGUUAAAUAAACGUUUCAACAUGAUAAUGCAGACCCCAUUUUGCAAGGAUCUGUACACAAUUCCUGGAAGCUGAAAAUGUCCCAGUUCCCCUGCGCAAGGCAGUUAACCCACUGUUCCCCGGGCACCGAUGAAACAGUUGUCGAUUAAGGCAGCACCCAACACCUCUCUGAUUCAGAGGGGUUGAGUUAAAUACGUUUCCCUUUCUUCCAAGGCCUGCAUACUCAGACAUGUCAACCAUUGAGCAUUUUUUGGGAUGCUCAGGAUCUCCAUGUACAACAGCAUGUUCCAGUUCCGACCAAUAUCCAGCAACUUAGCUCAGGCAUUUUAGAGGAGUGGGACAACAUUCCACAAUCAACAGCCUGAUCAAAUCUCUGCAAAGGAGAUGUGAAGCGCCGCAUGAGGGAAAUGGUGGACAAACCAGACUGGUUUUCUGAUCCACACCCCUACUUUAAAUGUUUCUAUAAGUUAUCUGUGACUAACAGAUGCAUAUCUGUAUUCCACGUCAUGUGAAAUCCAUAGAUUUGGGCCUAAUGAAUUGAUUUCAAUUGACUGAUUUCAUUAUUUGAAACUUCAUUAUAUGAAACUCAAUAAAAUAUUUGAAAUUGUUG